GACAGAGGGUGCAAACGUUGUUCGGAAUUACUGGGCGUAAAGCGUACGUAGGCGGCUUUGUAAGUUAGAGGUGAAAGCCUGGAGCUCAACUCCAGAACUGCCUUUAAAACUGCAUCGCUUGAAUCCAGGAGAGGUGAGUGGAAUUCCGAGUGUAGAGGUGAAAUUCGUAGAUAUUCGGAAGAACACCAGUGGCGAAGGCGGCUCACUGGACUGGUAUUGACGCUGAGGUACGAAAGCGUGGGGAGCAAACAGG
RNAcentral lists this ribosomal RNA (253 nucleotides) under uncultured bacterium. Its description in RNAcentral is "partial 16S ribosomal RNA". It matches the Rfam family "Bacterial small subunit ribosomal RNA", at positions 524 to 776 of the family's 1533-position model. The record is from RNAcentral.